AAAACAGGAUUGUUUCCUUUUUUGGUAUAGUUACAUAUCCUUUCAAUAUAGUUGUAUUCUAAAAAUCACGAUAAAAAUUGAAGAUGAAAAUCACAUUCAGUCCAAAAGUCAAAUCUUUAGAAGCUCUGAAAUUAAGAGAAAGACACAGUCAAAGAUCUAAGUUAUAUAUUGAUCAGGUGAACAUAAGCAGUUCAUUGUCUAGAGGAUCCCUAACUCAAGUAACAAAUAUCAGUGCAUUCAUAAAUGAUUUCAACACAAGCAUCUUAUCAGAUCUUAAUAUAAC
This is a long non-coding RNA of Mytilus trossulus (common blue mussel), 283 nucleotides long. RefSeq lists it as uncharacterized. The transcript is spliced from 3 exons. Lineage: Eukaryota; Metazoa; Mollusca; Bivalvia; Mytilida; Mytilidae. The record is from RefSeq and is a predicted model, not a curated record.